UACGGGGGGAGCAAGCGUUGUUCGGAUUUACUGGGCGUAAAGGGCGCGUAGGCGGCCAGCGCAAGUCAGUUGUGAAAUCUCCGGGCUUAACUCGGAACGGUCAACUGAUACUGCGCGGCUAGAGUGCGGAAGGGGCAACUGGAAUUCUCGGUGUAGCGGUGAAAUGCAUAGAUAUCGUCAAGAACACCGAUAGCGAAGGCAGCUUACUAAGCUGUAACUGACGCUGAGGCACGAAAGUGUGGGGAUCAAACAGG
RNAcentral lists this ribosomal RNA (254 nucleotides) under uncultured bacterium. RNAcentral's name for it is "partial 16S ribosomal RNA". It matches the Rfam family "Bacterial small subunit ribosomal RNA", at positions 524 to 776 of the family's 1533-position model. The record is from RNAcentral.